GUCUUCACUUCAGAAGCACAUAUAUUAAAAUCAGAAUGAUACAGAGAAGAUUAGUGCAGCCCCUGCAAAAGAAUGACACACAAAUUCAUGAAACAUACAACUUUAGG
This is a small nuclear RNA of Sceloporus undulatus (fence lizard), 107 nucleotides long. Lineage: Eukaryota; Metazoa; Chordata; Lepidosauria; Squamata; Phrynosomatidae. The record is from RefSeq and is a predicted model, not a curated record.